RNAcentral lists this ribosomal RNA (470 nucleotides) under uncultured bacterium. RNAcentral describes it as "bacterial SSU rRNA". It matches the Rfam family "Bacterial small subunit ribosomal RNA", at positions 171 to 626 of the family's 1533-position model. The record is from RNAcentral.
GGAUAAUAUCCUCGGACGGCAUCGUUUGAGGAUCAAAGGCGGGGCAACCUGUCGCAAGAAGAUGAUCCCGCGCUCCAUUAGCUUGUUGGUGAGGUAACGGCUCACCAAGGCUGCGAUGGAUAGCCGACCUGAGAGGGUGACCGGCCACACUGGGACUGAGAUACGGCCCAGACUCCUACGGGAGGCAGCAGUAGGGAAUAUUGCGCAAUGGACGCAAGUCUGACGCAGCAACGCCGCGUGGGUGAUGAAGCUCCUUGGAGUGUAAAACCCUGUCAGUGGGGAAGAAACGUAUGGGUAGUAACUGACCUGUACCUGACGGUACCCACAGAGGAAGUCCCGGCUAACUCCGUGCCAGCAGCCGCGGUAAUACGGGGGGGACGAGCGUUGUUCGGAUUUACUGGGCGUAAAGGGCGCGUAGGCGGACCUUCAAGUCGGAUGUGAAAUCUGUCGGCUUAACUGACAGUCUGCAC